This 1342-nucleotide ribosomal RNA is filed under the name uncultured bacterium. RNAcentral's name for it is "16S ribosomal RNA". It matches the Rfam family "Bacterial small subunit ribosomal RNA", at positions 28 to 1378 of the family's 1533-position model. The record is from RNAcentral.
GACGAACGCUGGCGGCGUGCUUAACACAUGCAAGUCGAACGGAAAGGCCCUGCUUUUGUGGGGUGCUCGAGUGGCGAACGGGUGAGUAGCACGUGAGUAACCUGCCCUUGACUUUGGGAUAACUUCAGGAAACUGGGGCUAAUACCGGAUAGGAGCUCCUGCUGCAUGGUGGGGGUUGGAAAGUUUCGGCGGUUGGGGAUGGACUCGCGGCUUAUCAGCUUGUUGGUGGGGUAGUGGCUUACCAAGGCUUUGACGGGUAGCCGGCCUGAGAGGGUGACCGGCCACAUUGGGACUGAGAUACGGCCCAGACUCCUACGGGAGGCAGCAGUGGGGAAUAUUGCACAAUGGGCGGAAGCCUGAUGCAGCAACGCCGCGUGCGGGAUGACGGCCUUCUGGUUGUAAACCGCUUUCGCCUGUGACGAAGCGUGAGUGACGGUAAUGGGUAAAGAAGCACCGGCUAACUACGCGCCAUCAGCCUCGGUGAUACGUAGGGUGCGAGCGUUGUCCUGAUUUAUUGGGCGUAAGGGCUCGUAGGUGGUUGAUCGCGUCGGAAGUGUAAUCUUGGGGCUUAACCCUGAGCGUGCUUUCGAUACGGGUUGACUUGAGGAAGGUAGGGGAGAAUGGAAUUCCUGGUGGAGCGGUGGAAUGCGCAGAUAUCAGGAGGAACACCAGUGGCGAAGGCGGUUCUCUGGGCCUUUCCUGACGCUGAGGAGCGAAAGCGUGGGGAGCGAACAGGCUUAGAUACCCUGGUAGUCCACGCUGUAAACGGUGGGUACUAGGUGUGGGGUCCAUUCCACGGGUUCCGUGCCGUAGCUAACGCUUUAAGUACCCCGCCUGGGGAGUACGGCCGCAAGGCUAAAACUCAAAGGAAUUGACGGGGCCCCGCACAAGCGGCGGAGCAUGCGGAUUAAUUCGAUGCAACGCGUAGAACCUUACCCGGGUUUGACAUGGAUCGGGAGCGCUCAGAGAUGGGUGUGCCUCUUUUGGGGUCGGUUCACAGGUGGUGCAUGGCUGUCGUCAGCUCGUGUCGUGAGAUGUUGGGUUAAGUCCCGCAACGAGCGCAACCCUUGUUCACUGUUGCCAGCACGUUAUGGUGGGGACUCAGUGGAGACCGCCGGGGUCAACUCGGAGGAAGGUGGGGAUGACGUCAAGUCAUCAUGCCCCUUAUGUCCAGGGCUUCACGCAUGCUACAAUGGCUGGUACAGAGAGUGGCGAGCCUGUGAGGGUGAACGAAUCUCGGAAAGCCGGUCUCAGUUCGGAUUGGGGUCUGCAACUCGACCUCAUGAAGUCGGAGUCGCUAGUAAUCGCAGAUCAGCAACGCUGCGGUGAAUACGUUCCCGGG